RNAcentral lists this ribosomal RNA (330 nucleotides) under uncultured bacterium. RNAcentral's name for it is "bacterial SSU rRNA". It matches the Rfam family "Bacterial small subunit ribosomal RNA", at positions 568 to 898 of the family's 1533-position model. The record is from RNAcentral.
CGCGUAGGCGGUCUGUCCAGUUAGGCGUGAAAGGCCUGGGCUUAACCCAGGAAUGGCGCUUAAUACUGACGGGCUUGAGAUUGGAAGAGGAGAGUGGAAUUCCCAGUGUAGAGGUGAAAUUCGUAGAUAUUGGGAAGAACACCGGUGGCGAAGGCGGCUCUCUGGUCCACAUCUGACGCUGAGGCGCGAAAGCGUGGGGAGCAAACAGGAUUAGAUACCCUGGUAGUCCACGCCGUAAACGAUGAGUGCUAGACGUUGGGGGGCUUGGCUCCUCGUGUCGCAGCUAACGCGUUAAGCACUCCGCCUGGGGAGUACGGUCGCAAGAUUAAA